RNAcentral lists this unclassified non-coding RNA (378 nucleotides) under plant metagenome. RNAcentral describes it as "partial contains 5.8S ribosomal RNA, internal transcribed spacer 2, and large subunit ribosomal RNA". The stretch from base 1 to 105 matches the Rfam family "5.8S ribosomal RNA", at positions 50 to 154 of the family's 154-position model. The record is from RNAcentral.
GAAAUGCGAUAAGUAAUGUGAAUUGCAGAAUUCAGUGAAUCAUCGAAUCUUUGAACGCAUCUUGCGCUCCUUGGUAUUCCUUGGAGCAUGCCUGUUUGAGUAUCAUGAAAUCUUCAAAGUAAAUCUUUUGUUAACUCAAUUGGUUUCUACUUUGGUAUUGGAGGUCUUUGCAGCUUCACACCUGCUCCUCUUUGUUCAUUAGCUGGAUCUCAGUGUUAUGCUUGGUUCCACUCGGCGUGAUAAGUUAUCUAUCGCUGAGGACACUGUAAAAGGUGGCCAAGGUAAAUGCAGAUGAACCGCUUCUAAUAGUCCAUUGACUUGGACAAUACUUUUAUGAUCUGAUCUCAAAUCAGGUAGGACUACCCGCUGAACUUAAGC